Molecule: ribosomal RNA, 481 nt
Filed under: uncultured bacterium
Lineage: Bacteria
Description: bacterial SSU rRNA
Rfam family: Bacterial small subunit ribosomal RNA
Source: RNAcentral
CUGGCUCAGGAUUAACGCUGGCGGCGUGCCUAACACAUGCAAGUCGAACGAAAUAUCUUCGGAUAUUAGUGGCGAACGGGUGAGUAAUGUACAGGUAAUGUACCUUCGUACUGCGAAUAACAAGCUGAAAAGUUUGCUAAUACGGAAUAGUUUCAUUAGGGGGCAUCCUUUGAUGAAUAAAGAUUUAUCGUGCGGAGAUCAGCCUGUAUCCUAUUAGUUAGUUGGUGGGGUAAUGGCCUACCAAGACGACGAUGGGUAACUGGUCUGAGAGGAUGAGCAGUCACAUUGGAACUGAGAUACGGUCCAAACUCCUACGGGAGGCAGCAGUGAGGAAUUUUGCGCAAUGGGGGAAACCCUGACGCCAGCAACGCCGCGUGACCCGUGAAGACGGCCUUCGGGUUGUAAAGCUCUGUCGUGUAUGACGAGUAGGGACGGUAAUACACAAGGAAGAACCCUCGGCUAACUACGUGCCAGCCGCAGC